GAAACGCGAACCAAGCGGCGGCGACAGUCGCGUGAGACUUGGAGCUGGUCUCGGCAACGAGGCCAUGCA
Molecule: small RNA, 69 nt
Organism: Bifidobacterium longum NCC2705
Lineage: Bacteria; Bacillati; Actinomycetota; Actinomycetes; Bifidobacteriales; Bifidobacteriaceae
Rfam family: Transposase-2 RNA
Source: Rfam